This 493-nucleotide ribosomal RNA is filed under the name uncultured bacterium. RNAcentral's name for it is "partial 16S ribosomal RNA". It matches the Rfam family "Bacterial small subunit ribosomal RNA", at positions 38 to 507 of the family's 1533-position model. The record is from RNAcentral.
GGGGGGGGGGGGGGGCGGGCUGAGGGGAGGCAGGGCGAGCGGUGGAGGGACCGGUGGGUGCGGGUUCUGGAUGAGUGGCGAACGGGUGAGUAACACGUUAGGAAGCUGCGCCCUUCUUCUGGAUAACCGGAGGAAAGGGUGGCGAAUACGGGCUGUUCUGCGCCUGGGGCGUGGUGGGUGGGGGGAAGGUGGGGAUUGUGUGGGGGGUGGGCGCGCGGCCUAUCAGAUUGUUGGUGGGGUGAUGGCCUAGCAAGGGGGUGACGGGUAGCCGGCCUGAGAGGGUGGACGGUCACACUGGGACUGCGACACGGCCCAGACUCCUACGGGAGGCAGCAGUGGGGAAUAUUGCACAAUGGGCGCAAGCCUGAUGCAGCGACGCCGCGUGAGGGAUGGAGGCCUGCGGGUUGUAAACCUCUUUCGCCAGUGAAGCAGGCCUGUCCCUUUUGUGGGUGGGUUGACGGUAGCUGGAUAAGAAGCGCCGGCUAACUACGUG